AAAUAUAAAAAUGAAUGGUAAUGACAGAAAUAAUAAGACGUUACAUACAAAAAGUAAAUCAACUUUAUAUACAUUUGCAAAUAAUUAAUUAUUUAUUUUUUUUUUAAACAGAUAAAAUUAAUCCAAUAAUGAAUAGGGAAGUUAAAAUAAACAGCAAAAGUGAUUUUAUACAUUACUUAAAAAUAUUAAACCACGUGGGAUUUUUUGAAGAUGCAAUUGCUUUAGUUAAAUCCGUCAAAUUUGAUAUUUAUUGUCUGAAUUAUACAGAAGCCCAAGUAUUGGGAUCUGUUUUCAGAAGUGCUUUAAAUGUUAAAAGGAAAGAAAAGAAAACAUUAGAGAAAUAUAUGAAAGAAGUAAUUACUUGUGAAGCAAGAAUGAAAUGUGCUGAAUUACAUAUAGCCAAAUUAAUUAAAGAUAUAAAAUAUAUAGAACUAACUAUUUAUAAUACCAUUAAAAAUAAAUGUAUUACUAAAACUAAUGACGAGCAAACAUUAAUGUGUUACUGGCAUUUAAUUGGGGAUGUUAUGAGAUAUAGCGCAGAAACAAUGAAUGUAGAAAAAAGGUAUAGGGUGCAAGAAAAAAGCCAGCUAGCAUACACUAAUGCCUUGAAAUAUGCAAACAAACUGAAAAUACCUUCAUCAAGAUCAGAAAAAUUAGAAGUUAUAAUUGGUUUAGCAGUUUUAAACAAAGAUAUGGGUAAAGAUAUAAAUGUUUCUAUAGAGAUGUUAGCACAAGCAUUUAGAGAUGCAAUUCAAAAUAUGCACCUUCUUGAGUAAUAUAUAAAAUGAAUUAAUUUGCUUAAAACAAUUUUUUUAGAAAUAAUAAUUAUGCUUUUUAUUUUUUUUAUUUACUGUAUAUAAAAACAGUGUGUUUGCAUGCGUAUAUAAAAACAUUGUGUUUGCAUUCAUAUAUA
This 913-nucleotide long non-coding RNA is filed under the name Piliocolobus tephrosceles (Ugandan red Colobus). RNAcentral's name for it is "lncRNA (ENSPTEG00000019567.1)". The record is from RNAcentral. Lineage: Eukaryota; Metazoa; Chordata; Mammalia; Primates; Cercopithecidae.